ACCUAACUUUGAAGGAUGAGAACUACAACUAAGAUGAAAAAGAAAAAACCCAUUCAUUUGUCUUUCCAUUGCCUAUUUUUGCUUAUCCGUGCCCUCCUCUCCUGCUGAGAGCAUGUUCCAGACACACRGGAAACAAAUUCUGUCAGGAAUAAUCCUGGCUUGCCACCUGUCCUUAUCUCCAGAGGUCAUCGGGCGAGAGGCAGAGGAACACCUUGGAGAGGCCUCCAAUGGGACUCGGACCUCCUGAGUGGAGGGAAGUGAAUGACUGUAUGUGUCGUGAGCUGGGGGCCACAUGUCUCCAGUGACCGUUGGUUCUCUCUGCAGUCUGCAGGAACGGAUAAAAGAUCGAGUUCCACCUGCUCCCAGUGCUGGGAGCUGAAAAACACGGCUGCCAGUCAAAAACAACCAAUCAGAGCCAGGAGGCAUGGGCGCCUGAGAGCAGCAUGAAGAGCUUAAAGGCAUCUUUAUGGAAGAGCGAAGCAACAGCAGCACGGCAGUAACAGAGAAAGUAGAGGAAGAGAUAGAGGGGUGGGAGGAGGAAGGGAGCACCACAAGAUGAAAGGAACAGCUGUAUACAAAUGACAAGCUUCCAUACCCCACCAACAGCAGCGCUGCCGCCGCCACCACCAGCCGCUCUCCCCUCUCCCCCUCCACCUGCAGUGAUGUGCCCUGUGCGGUCAUCGAACAGCUUCAAAGAGCCAGGCAGGCGAGACGAGGCGAGGCGAGCGGGCCGAAUCCUCAAAGAGACAGCCUCCGUCUCGUCCUCGCCGAACACCGUGGCCUCUGACACACAAACACAAUCUGCCUCAUCCAUGCAUACAGCACACCAUCCACC
Molecule: long non-coding RNA, 835 nt
Organism: Poecilia reticulata (guppy)
Lineage: Eukaryota; Metazoa; Chordata; Actinopteri; Cyprinodontiformes; Poeciliidae
Source: RefSeq, a predicted model, not a curated record